UAGAGUUUGAUCCUGGCUCAGGACGAACGCUGGCGGCGUGCUUAACACAUGCAGGUCGAACGGUGAACCACUUCGGUGGGGAUCAGUGGCGAACGGGUGAGUAACACGUGAGUAAUCUGCCUCUGACUCUGGGAUAACCACGGGAAACGGUGGCUAAUACCGGAUAUGACGUACGGUCGCAUGGUCUGUGCGUGGAAAGUUUUUCGGUCAGAGAUGAGCUCGCGGCCUAUCAGCUUGUUGGUGGGGUAAUGGCCUACCAAGGCGACGACGGGUAGCCGGCCUGAGAGGGCGACCGGCCACACUGGGACUGAGACACGGCCCAGACUCUACGGGAGGCAGCAGUGGGGAAUAUUGCGCAAUGGGCGAAAGCCUGACGCAGCGACGCCGCGUGAGGGAUGAAGGCUUCGGGUCGUAAACCUCUUUCAGCAGGGAAGAAGCGCAAGUGACGGUACCUGCAGAAGAAGCACCGGCUAACUACGUGCCAGCAGCCGCGGUAAUACGUAGGGUGCAAGCGUUGUCCGGAAUUAUUGGGCGUAAAGAGCUCGUAGGCGGUCUGUCGCGUCUGCUGUGAAAACCUAGGGCUUAACCCUGGGCGUGCAGUGGGUACGGGCAGACUAGAGUGCAGUAGGGGAGACUGGAAUUCCUGGUGUAGCGGUGAAAUGCGCAGAUAUCAGGAGGAACACCGGUGGCGAAGGCGGGUCUCUGGGCUGUAACUGACGCUGAGGAGCGAAAGCAUGGGGAGCGAACAGGAUUAGAUACCCUGGUAGUCCAUGCCGUAAACGUUGGGCGCUAGGUGUGGGGCACAUUCCACGUGUUCUGUACCGCANUAACGCAUUAAGCGCCCCGCCUGGGGAGUACGGCCGCAAGGCUAAAACUCAAAGGAAUCGACGGGGGCCCGCACAAGCGGCGGAGCAUGCGGAUUAAUUCGAUGCAACGCGAAGAACCUUACCAAGGCUUGACAUGGGGUGAAAACUCGUGGAGACACGGGGUCCGCAAGGGCGCCUCACAGGUGGUGCCAACGAGCGCAACCCUCGUUCUAUGUUGCCAGCACGUCAUGGUGGGAACUCAUAGGAGACUGCCGGGGUCAACUCGGAGGAAGGUGGGGAUGACGUCAAAUCAUCAUGCCCCUUAUGUCUUGGGCUUCACGCGUGCUACAAUGGCCAGUACAAAGGGCUGCGAGACCGUAAGGUGGAGCGAAUCCCAAAAAGCUGGUCUCAGUUCGGAUCGGGGUCUGCAACUCGACCCCGUGAAGUUGGAGUCGCUAGUAAUCGCAGAUCAGCAUUGCUGCGGUGAAUACGUUCCCGGGCCUUGUACACACCGCCCGUCACGUCAUGAAAGUCGGUAACACCCGAAGCCGGUGGCCUAACCCCUUGUGGGAGGGAGCUGUCGAAGGUGGGACUGGCGAUUAGGACGAAGUCGUAACAAGGUAACC
This 1432-nucleotide ribosomal RNA is filed under the name Kineosporia rhizophila. Its description in RNAcentral is "16S ribosomal RNA". It matches the Rfam family "Bacterial small subunit ribosomal RNA". Lineage: Bacteria; Bacillati; Actinomycetota; Actinomycetes; Kineosporiales; Kineosporiaceae. The record is from RNAcentral.